This 1928-nucleotide long non-coding RNA is filed under the name Nicotiana tabacum (common tobacco). Its description in RNAcentral is "long non-coding RNA (NTAB_LNC001797)". Lineage: Eukaryota; Viridiplantae; Streptophyta; Magnoliopsida; Solanales; Solanaceae. The record is from RNAcentral.
AAGAGUUCAGUUUAGGGUUUAAAACCCUAAUGCUGACUAAAGUAAAAGUUCAGUUUAGGGUUUAAAACCCUAAUGCUGACUAAAGGGAAAAAGUUCAGUUCAGGGUUUAAAACCAUAAUGCUGACUAAAGGAGAAGUUCAGUUUAGGGUUUAAAAUCCUAAUGCUGACUAAAGGAAAAGUUCAGUUUAGGGUUUAAAACCCUAAUGCUGACUAAAGGAAAAGUUCAGUUUAGGGUUUAAAACCCUAAUGCUGACUAAAGGAAAGAGUUCAGUUCAGGGUUUAAAACCUUAAUGCUGACUAAAGGAAAGAGUUUAGUUUAGAGUUUAAAACCCUAAUGCUGACUAAAGGAAAAGUUCAGUUUAGGGUUUAAAACCCUAAUGCUGACUAAAGGAAAGAGUUCAGUUCAGGGUUUAAAACCCUAAUGCUGACUAAAGGAAAGAGUUCAGUUCUGGGUUUAAAACCCUAAUGCUGACUAAAGGAAAGAGUUCAGUUUAGGGUUUAAAACCCUAAUGCUGACUAAAGGAAAGAGUUCAGUUUAGGGUUUAAAACUCUAAUGCUGACUAAAGGACGGAGUUCAGUUUAGGGUUUAAAAUCCUAAUGCUGACUAAAGGAAAGAGUUCAGUUCAGGGUUUAAAACCCUAAUGCUGACUAAAGGAAAGAGUUCAGUUCAGGGUUUAAAACCCUAAUGCUGACUAAAGGAAAGAGUUCAGUUUAGGAUUUAAAACUCUAAUGCUGACUAAAGGAAAAGUUCAGUUCAGGGUUUAAAACCCUAAUGGUGACUAAAGGAAAGAAUUCAGUUCAGGGUUUAAAACCCUAAUGCUGACUAAAGGAAAGAGUUCAGUUUAGGGUUUAAAACUCUAAUGCUGACUAAAGGAAAAGUUCAGUUUAGGGUUUAAAACCCUAAUGCUGACUAAAGGAAAGAGUUCAGUUCAGGGUUUAAAACCCUAAUGCUGACUAAAGGAAAGAGUUCAGUUCAGGGUUUAAAACCCUAAUGCUGACUAAAGGAAAGAGUUCAGUUCAGGGUUUAAAACCCUAAUGCUGACUAAAGGAAAGAGUUCAGUUUAGGGUUUAAAACCCUAAUGCUGACUAAAGGAAAAGUUCAGUUUUGGGUUUAAAACCCUAAUGCUGACUAAAGGAAAGAGUUCAGUUCAGGGUUUAAAACCCUAAUGCUGACUAAGGGAAAGAGUUCAGUUUAGGAUUUAAAACUCUAAUGCUGACUAAAGGAAAAGUUCAGUUCAGGGUUUAAAACCCUAAUGCUGACUAAAGGAAAGAGUUCAGUUCAGGGUUUAAAACCCUAAUGCUGACUAAAGGAAAGAGUUCAGUUUAGAGUUUAAAACCCUAAUGCUGACUAAAGGAAAAGUUCAGUUUAGGGUUUAAAACCCUAAUGCUGACUAAAGGAAAGAGUUCAGUUAAGGGUUUAAAACCCAAAUGCUGACUAAAGGAAAGAGUUUAGUUUAGGGUUUAAAACCCUAAUGCUGACUAAAGUAAAAGUUCAGUUUAGGGUUUAAAACCCUAAUGCUGACUAAAGGAAAGAGUUCAGUUUAGGGGUUAAAACACUAAUGCUGACUAAAGGAAAAGUUCAGUUUAGGGUUUAAAACCCUAAUGCUGACUAAAGGAAAGAGUUCAGUUCAGGGUUUAAAACCCUAAUGCUGACUAAAGGAAAGAGUUCAGUUCAGGGUUUAAAAAGCUAAUGCUGACUAAAGGAAAGAGUUCAGUUUAGGGUUUAAAACCCUAAUGCUGACUAAAGGAAAAGUUCAGUUUAGGGUUUAAAACCCUAAUGCUGACUAAAGGAAAGAGUUCAGUUUAGGGUUUAAAACCCUAAUGCUGACUAAAGGAAAAGGUCAGUUUAGGGUUUAAAACCCUAAUGCUGACUAAAGGGAAAAAGUUCAGUUCAGGGUUUAAAACCAUAAUGGUGACUAAAGGAAUUC